CCUACGGGGGGCAGCAGUGGGGAAUAUUGGACAAUGGGGGGAACCCUGAUCCAGCCAUGCCGCGUGUGUGAAGAAGGCCCUCGGGUUGUAAAGCACUUUCAGUGAGGAAGAACGCCUGGUGGUUAAUACCCAUCAGGAAAGACAUCACUCACAGAAGAAGCACCGGCUAACUCCGUGCCAGCAGCCGCGGUAAUACGGAGGGUGCGAGCGUUAAUCGGAAUUACUGGGCGUAAAGCGCGCGUAGGUGGCUUGAUAAGCCGGUUGUGAAAGCCCCGGGCUCAACCUGGGAACGGCAUCCGGAACUGUCAAGCUAGAGGGCAGGAGAGGAAGGUAGAGGGCCCGGUGUAGCGGUGAAAUGCGUAGAGAUCGGGAGGAAGGCCAGUGGCGAAGGCGGCCUUCUGGACUGACACUGACACUGAGGUGCGAAAGCGUGGGUAGCAAACAGGAUUAGAUACCCCUGUAGUC
Molecule: ribosomal RNA, 465 nt
Filed under: Vreelandella stevensii
Lineage: Bacteria; Pseudomonadati; Pseudomonadota; Gammaproteobacteria; Oceanospirillales; Halomonadaceae
Description: partial 16S ribosomal RNA
Rfam family: Bacterial small subunit ribosomal RNA
Source: RNAcentral